UACGGAGGGUGCGAGCGUUGUCCGGAUUUAUUGGGUUUAAAGGGUGCGUAGGCGGUCUGGUAAGUCGGUGGUGAAAGCCCGGGGCUCAACCCCGGAACUGCCAUCGAUACUGUCAGACUUGAGUACGGUUGAGGUUGGCGGAAUGGGCGGUGUAGCGGUGAAAUGCAUAGAUACCGUCCAGAACCCCGAUUGCGAAGGCAGCUGACUAAGCCGUAACUGACGCUGAGGCACGAAAGCGUGGGGAGCAAACAGG
RNAcentral lists this ribosomal RNA (253 nucleotides) under uncultured bacterium. Its description in RNAcentral is "partial 16S ribosomal RNA". It matches the Rfam family "Bacterial small subunit ribosomal RNA", at positions 524 to 776 of the family's 1533-position model. The record is from RNAcentral.